UUAUUUUAAAAGUUAUAGUAUUACCAAAAUAGCCAAAAGAUAGCUUGAUUUUAUGGAGAUAGAUUAUUAAUUCCGAAUAGGACAAUGCUAAUCCAAUCAAAUUAAUUAAAAUCAAGCCAUAAAUUGAAUGAAUAUCUUAAAAAAUAAAUAAAGGGAAAAAGACACUAGGACCUAUAAGAUUUACUUGAAUCAUCACAUCGACUCCUUUGGUUUUAGAAAUAAUCACAUAGAUCCAC
This 236-nucleotide long non-coding RNA is filed under the name Citrus sinensis (sweet orange). RNAcentral describes it as "long non-coding RNA (CSIN_LNC003530)". Lineage: Eukaryota; Viridiplantae; Streptophyta; Magnoliopsida; Sapindales; Rutaceae. The record is from RNAcentral.